GGAGUCACGCCAGAAAUCUUACCCGGAGAGACAGCAGAAUGAAGGUCAAGCUGAAGACUUUACCAGACAAGCUGAGAGGUGGUGCAUGGCCGUCGCCAGCUCGUGCCGUGAGAUGUCCUGUUAAGUCAGGUAACGAGCGAGAUCCCUGCCUCUAGUUGCCACCAUUACUCUCAGGAGUAGUGGGGCGAAUUAGCGGGACCGCCGCAGUUAAUGCGGAGGAAGGAAGGGGCCACGGCAGGUCAGUAUGCCCCGAAACUCUGGGGCCACACGCGGGCUGCAAUGGUAACGACAAUUGGUUUCGAAUCCGAAAGGAUGAGGUAAUCCUCAAACGUUACCACAGUUAUGACUGAGGGCUGCAACUCGCCCUCACGAAUACGGAAUCCCUAGUAACUGCGUGUCAUUAUCGCGCGGUGAAUACGUCCCUGCUCCUUGCACACACCGCCCGUCGUUUCAUUGAAGUGAGCUUUUAGCGAGGUGACGUCUAAUUGGCGUUAUCGAACUUGAGGUUCGUGACAAGGGGAAAGUCGUAACAAGGUGACCGUAGGGGAACCUGCGGUCGGAUCA
Molecule: ribosomal RNA, 564 nt
Filed under: uncultured crenarchaeote
Lineage: Archaea; Thermoproteati; Thermoproteota
Description: bacterial SSU rRNA
Rfam family: Archaeal small subunit ribosomal RNA
Source: RNAcentral